RNAcentral lists this ribosomal RNA (1492 nucleotides) under metagenome. Its description in RNAcentral is "bacterial SSU rRNA". It matches the Rfam family "Bacterial small subunit ribosomal RNA". The record is from RNAcentral.
AGAGUUUGAUCCUGGCUCAGGACGAACGCUGGCGGCACGCUUAACACAUGCAAGUCGAACGAGAGAAGAGGAGCUUGCUUUUCUGAUCUAGUGGCGGACGGGUGAGUAACACGUGAGCAAUCUGCCUUUCAGAGGGGGAUACCGAUUGGAAACGAUCGUUAAUACCGCAUAACAUAAUUGAACCGCAUGAUUUGAUUAUCAAAGAUUUAUCGCUGAAAGAUGAGCUCGCGUCUGAUUAGCUAGUUGGUAAGGUAACGGCUUACCAAGGCGACGAUCAGUAGCCGGACUGAGAGGUUGAUCGGCCACAUUGGGACUGAGACACGGCCCAGACUCCUACGGGAGGCAGCAGUGGGGAAUAUUGCACAAUGGAGGAAACUCUGAUGCAGCGAUGCCGCGUGAGGGAAGAAGGUUUUAGGAUUGUAAACCUCUGUCUUCAGGGACGAAAAAAGACGGUACCUGAGGAGGAAGCUCCGGCUAACUACGUGCCAGCAGCCGCGGUAAUACGUAGGGAGCGAGCGUUGUCCGGAAUUACUGGGUGUAAAGGGAGCGUAGGCGGGAUCGCAAGUCAGAUGUGAAAACUAUGGGCUUAACCCAUAAACUGCAUUUGAAACUGUGGUUCUUGAGUGAAGUAGAGGUAAGCGGAAUUCCUAGUGUAGCGGUGAAAUGCGUAGAUAUUAGGAGGAACAUCAGUGGCGAGGGCGGCUUACUGGGCUUUAACUGACGCUGAGGCUCGAAAGCGUGGGGAGCAAACAGGAUUAGAUACCCUGGUAGUCCACGCCGUAAACGAUGAUUACUAGGUGUGGGGGGACUGACCCCUUCCGUGCCGCAGCAAACGCAAUAAGUAAUCCACCUGGGGAGUACGACCGCAAGGUUGAAACUCAAAGGAAUUGACGGGGGCCCGCACAAGCAGUGGAGUAUGUGGAUUAAUUCGAAGCAACGCGAAGAACCUUACCAGGUCUUGACAUCGUAUGCAUAGCUCAGAGAUGAGUGAAAUCUCUUCGGAGACAUAUAGACAGGUGGUGCAUGGUUGUCGUCAGCUCGUGUCGUGAGAUGUUGGGUUAAGUCCCGCAACGAGCGCAACCCUUACUGUUAGUUGCUACGCAAGAGCACUCUAGCAGGACUGCCGUUGACAAAACGGAGGAAGGUGGGGAUGACGUCAAAUCAUCAUGCCCCUUAUGACCUGGGCCUCACACGUACUACAAUGGCUGUCAACAGAGGGAAGCAAAGCCGCGAGGUGGAGCGAACCCCUAAAAGCAGUCUUAGCUCGGAUUGUAGGCUGCAACCCGCCUACACGAAGUCGGAAUUGCUAGUAAUCGCAGAUCAGCAUGCUGCGGUGAAUACGUUCCCGGGCCUUGUACACACCGCCCGUCACGCCAUGGGAGUCGGUAACACCCGAAGCCUGUAGUCUAACCGCAAGGAGGACGCAGUCGAAGGUGGGAUUGAUGACUGGGGUGAAGUCGUAACAAGGUAGCCGUAUCGGGAGGUGCGGCUG